RNAcentral lists this ribosomal RNA (301 nucleotides) under uncultured bacterium. Its description in RNAcentral is "partial 16S ribosomal RNA". It matches the Rfam family "Bacterial small subunit ribosomal RNA", at positions 509 to 809 of the family's 1533-position model. The record is from RNAcentral.
CAGUCGCCACGGGAAUACGGAGGGGGCUAGCGUUGUUCGGAAUUACUGGGCGUAAAGCGCACGUAGGCGGCUUGGUAAGUUAGAGGUGAAAGCCUGGAGCUCAACUCCAGAAUUGCCUUUAAGACUGCCGAGCUAGCAGGUGAGAGAGGUAAGUGGAAUUCCGAGUGUAGAGGUGAAAUUCGUAGAUAUUCGGAAGAACACCAGUGGCGAAGGCGGCUUACUGGCUCAUUCUAGACGCUGAGGUGCGAAAGCGUGGGGAGCAAACAGGAUUAGAUACCCCGGUAGUCCCUGUCUCUUAUAA